UGAUAUAUAUCACUUAUAUUAUUAUUUGAGUAAAGUGGUGGGAACUUUCUGCAGUUUUCGAUUAAUUUUCUCCAAGAAAUUGUAAGAAAUAGAAAAAAUAUUCGACAUAUAUAUGAGUAGCACGUCUGAAAUUUCACAUAUAUUCUUUCGAAGAUCUUAUUCGGAACACCUUUGGUUUCAUUCGCUUCGAUUAAAUAGGACAAAAUGGCAGCUUGCAGGGGCCAGCUGAAGGACACCUCUGGGUGCGGGAAUUUUUCGAUACAGUGAAGACCUGUUGGUGAGCUUCUGCUGUUGUUUUUAUCCAAGGGGUUUUUACUCAUCAGAUGCAUGAUUCAGAUCAAUACAGUGGUGUCUGCAUAAAAAAAGUUGAUGGGAGAAUGAUGUUUAUCAAAGGUUGAUGUAAACAAAGAAAAGAAAAUUCAACAGAUGAGGCUUUUUGACAAGAAGUGUUAUUUUGAAAUGAUUUUUAGCCAGCAAAUCAAGGUUAACAGCAUCUAGAGAAAUUUGCACAGCAACAUGGAGGAGAAAAACCAUCAAUCCUUGCAAAUCUUGCUGGACGGAAUUGAGAUUUUUUAGCACAAGCAACAAUUCAUGGAAAAAACUAUGAAAAAAGGCUCUAGGUGUAAU
This is a long non-coding RNA of Mytilus trossulus (common blue mussel), 627 nucleotides long. RefSeq lists it as uncharacterized. Lineage: Eukaryota; Metazoa; Mollusca; Bivalvia; Mytilida; Mytilidae. The transcript has 4 exons. The record is from RefSeq and is a predicted model, not a curated record.